This 468-nucleotide ribosomal RNA is filed under the name uncultured bacterium. RNAcentral's name for it is "partial 16S ribosomal RNA". It matches the Rfam family "Bacterial small subunit ribosomal RNA", at positions 28 to 507 of the family's 1533-position model. The record is from RNAcentral.
GACGAACGCUGGCGGCGUGCUUAACACAUGCAAGUCGAACGGAAAGUCCCUGCUUUUGUGGGGUGCUCGAGUGGCGAACGGGUGGGUAACACGUGAGUAACCUGCCCUUGACUUUGGGAUAACUUCAGGAAACUUGGGCUAAUACCGGAUAGGAGCUCCUGCUGCAUGGUGGGGGUUGGAAAGUUUCGGCGGUUGGGGAUGGACUCGCGGCUUAUCAGCUUGUUGGUGGGGUAGUGGCUUACCAAGGCUUUGACGGGUAGCCGGCCUGAGAGGGUAACCGGCCACAUUGGGACUGGGAUGAGGCCCAGACUAGUACGGGAGGCAGCAGUGGGGAAUAUUGUACAAUGGGCGGAAGCCUGAUGCAGCAACGCCGCGUGCGGGAUGACGGCCUUCGGGUUGUAAAGCGCUUUCGCCUGUGACGAAGCGUGAGUGACGGUACUGGGUAAAGAAGCACCGGCUAACUACGUG